Nannospalax galili (Upper Galilee mountains blind mole rat) is the source of this 6499-nucleotide RNA transcript. It is a transcript of the gene named zinc finger protein 101, with no coding region annotated. The record is from RefSeq and is a predicted model, not a curated record. Lineage: Eukaryota; Metazoa; Chordata; Mammalia; Rodentia; Spalacidae. The transcript has 8 exons.
GAGCCUUAGCGGGCGGCAGGGGGUGGGUUCCUUCUGGCCGCCAUGCUUCGGGGUUUGGUCCACCGCUGUGGGUGCUGUGCUGUGAUCCCUGCUGCGGGGAGCCGCAGACAGCACUAGCGAGCCUGGAAGAGCCGCGAUGGAGACUAUUACAGAGAUCCACAACUGGUCAGAAUGCAGAGAAUAACUGAUGUUUGGGUGCCCAGCCACAGUUGAUACAUCUACAGUGCAACCCAAGGCUCAUGGAACACGUGGAAGAGGGGCAGAAAGAUUAUAAGAGCCAGAGGACCAGGACGGACACCUGCUGCUAGAUAAUGUCUUGCAGACAUGACAGGGAAGAUACACCCAUGAACUCCCAGCAAUAUGAAUGUCUAAACAAGACCUGCGUGAAACCACCAGCUGACAUGCAAAUGUGGAUGGGGAAAUUUCUAGAUGAAAAGCUACAGGCGUUCAGUGGCUGCUGACAGCAGGACAGGUCUGCCAGGUGAUUUCAGGAAGGACUAACUGAGGAGAGAAGACUCUUCCCCCAGCGUGGGUGGCGCUUUCAGAAGUGGCCGGCAUAGAAAGAAGACAAAGGCAGAAGCAGUGCUGCCUCCCUGCCCGCCUUCACUUCUUGAGGGUGAGUCCCUGUCCCAUUGCUGCCGCAGCCGCUACCACCGCCGCUGCCACCACCGCCGUCCUUCAGCCGUCCUUCACUGACGUCGGAACUCAGCUUCUUGGGCCUCCAGUGUGGACUGAACAUCAGAGGCUGUCGGUGAAUCUUCCAGGCCUUCUCCACCCGAUUGAGAGCUGAGUCUCCAGCCUUGUGGACUGAGCAACUACCAGGUCAUCAGCCUCUCCAGCAUGGAGACAGCCAUUGUUGGACUAUCUAGGCCGGACCAGGAUUAUGUGAGCUUUGAGGAGCUGGCUGUGAACUUCACGCAGGAAGAGUGGGAUUUGCUGGAUCCUUCUCAGAAGACUCUCUAUGGAGAUGUGAUGCUGGAAACUUGUAGGAACUUCACUGCUAUAGGUUAUGAAUGGGAAGAUCAGACUGUUGAAGACCAUUGUGAAAAUCCUGAAAUAAAUCUAAGGCAUGUCACAUCUCAUUCUGGAAAAACACCACACAAGCAUGAAGAACAUGAAAAGAAGCCAUGUAACUUUAAUUCUCUCACAAAUAUUGAAGCAAACAUGGGAACCCACACUGCGAAUGGACCUUCUCAAUGUGAGGUAUGCUUAAAAUCCUAUGGACUGUAUCACCUGACCUACAACGGCGAGCACAUCUAUGAAUAUAAAGACUGUGGAGGGAGUCCAACUGUAGGAAAACGUUAUGAAUGUAAUCAGUGUGGUAAAACUCUGAGUUCUUUCAAUUCCCUUCAAAGACAUCAGAAAAUUCAUGUGGAAGGAAGACCCUAUGAGUGUCAACAGUGUGGCAAAGCCUUUCGGUAUCUCAGUGCCCUGCAGUCACAUGAAAGAAUUCAUACUGGAGAAAAACCCUACGAAUGUAAACAUUGUGGUACAGCGUUUAGCAGGCUUACCCACCUGCGAUUACAUGAAAAGGUUCAUACUGGAGAGAAACACUAUGAAUGUAAACAAUGUGGUAUAGUCCUCAGAUCUCAGAGUUCCUAUCAUAGACAUAAAAUAAUUCAUGGAGAAACAUUCUAUGACUGUAAACAGUGUGGGAAGUCCUUCAUUUACCCCUCUUUACUUCAAAUGCAUGAAAGAACGCACACUGGCGAAAAACCCUUUGAAUGUAAACACUGUGGUAAAGCCUUUAGAUAUCACUCUUCCAUACGAUUACAUGAAAGAACUCACACAGGAGAAAGACCCUAUGAAUGUCAACACUGUGAUAAAGCCUUUACGCGUCAGAGUUACCUUCAAUUUCAUGAAAGAAGCCACACUGGAGAGAAACCCUAUGAAUGUAAAGAAUGUGGUAAAGCUUUUAGACAUCACUCCUAUCUUCGAUUACACGAAAGAAGACAUACUGGGGAGAAGCCUUAUCAGUGUGUGCAGUGUGGUAGAGCUUUCAGCCGUCACAGUUCCUAUAAGAGACAUCAGUCUGUUCAUGCUGUGGAAAACCCCUAUGAAUGUCAAGACUAUCUACUUCCUUUAUCCCCGUUUCCUUCAGAUGCAUGAAAGAACUUACGCUGGCAACAACCCAAUGGAUGUGAACAGUGUAGUUAGAACAUUUAUUCCUGUUCAUAUAAAACAUAUGUAAGAACUCAAAAUAAUGGUAAACCUUUAUGUAAACAAUGUGAUAUAGCCUGCAUAGGGAUUACAGAACCCCACCAGCUGGAAGCAGUUACCAAAGAUACCUCCUUCCUAUUAAAAAUUAUGGAGAUCAUGUAUCUGGGGGAAAUGAUGCAGGAGGAGAUAGGGUCAGAAAAGAGUGACUGAGCAAUGACAAUUUGAUUGUGGGACCCAAAAACCAAGAAAGCCCAUCACUUGGACUCCUGUGAACCAUCUUGAGGUCAUAUAAACUCUUCCAGCAACCACAGAAAAUCGUCCUCUACAAUCACCAAAAGGAGAUUAAUUCCACGUGGUCUAGGAAAAUAGCAAGGACGUUUCCUGAAGGAAAUACUAAACAAGAUAAUGCUGAUUCCCCUCAGGACCCAGCUUCCCCACUCAUGUAUGAGCAGAUUCAAGCUUCACCAAGACCCUAGAGCAGGAAAACAUAUUGGGAGUGGCAGUUGGCCUAGUGGAGGACUAUCAUAGCAGCACGGUGUGGCUGGGGGAGAGACCAUGGCUGUGGCUGCAUCUGCAGUGCCCUCCCAGCACCUGCCAGACCCUGGCCUCUCCGAGUAGCCAGAAGGCAGAGGAAGAGUCAGUGACAGUGUCUGCAGCUCAAAUCCCGUCAGACCCGAGAAGCCACCUCAAACGACAGUGUUGUUAAAGUUCCUUCUGGAAGGGGACAUAUAAACAACAUCCAUUACUCCUUCCCUUGGCCCCAACAACAAAAAGAGGUAUGAGUCCCCCCAAAUGUACUCCAUGAAACCAGUGAGUUUAUUGGGCUUACAGAGCAGUGGCCAGAGAUUACUUACAGGACUGUGGGUGCUCUCCCCACCCAUGGCCGCACCAGAAAGUCUCCACCCAGCAUCGAUGAUGGCUUCCUCAUAGCUGCAUAUGAUUCCCCAGCCUAUAUGAUCUAGCCGUUCCCCCCAGGCCACAAGUAAUUAGGGCUGAAUUUCCCACCACAGGUUGGGAGGUGUGGCUAGACACCCAGGUGAGGGUCCCUUGACUCUCCCUGCCCUUGCUAUGUGGGGAUGUGAGUGGUCAACAAGCUGAGCUGCAAUGAUCUUUGGCAAGUGGGCACAGCUGAGCUCUGGAAGAUGGCAUCGGUCUGACUCAGGACAGUCCUGUACUUCAGGCAGGCACAAGAACACCCUUCCUUCUGGAACCUGGGUCGGGCUGUUAAGGAGUUUGAAACCACUGGGAAAAAGACCACCAGAACCAAUUCAAAUUUUAUGUGGUCCAAGUUAUUAGGGUUAUAGCUGUCUGCGGUCAGUGCAGCCUUUGCUGCCCCAUGUCGUUCAUCCACAAAUAAGUGGAAGGGUUUGGCAGUGUCAGGCAGUCCCAACGCUGGGGCUGACGUUAGAGCUCUUCUAAGCCUUUGAAAAGCUUCGUUUUCUUUUUCCUUCCAACUCAGAGGGCCUUUUCCUCCCAGGCUUUGGUAUAAUGGCUUAGCUAUCUCAGCAAAGUUAGGUAUCCAGAGCCUGCAAUAUCCAACUGUCCCCAGGAAUGGUCUCGUUUGCUUUUUGUCCUGCGGCUCAGGAAUGUUUAGGAUGGCUUGAAUUCUGCUCUGAGACAGGAUUCUGCUGCCACCUUCUGUUUACAGAUGAGGAUGCGAUCCCUCAGCUGCCUGCCAGCUGCUGCCAUGAUGGACUUUUAGCCCUCUGGAAACAUAAGCCCAAAUAAACUCCUCCUUAUAUAGGUUUCCUUGGUCAAGGUAUUUUAUCACAGCAACAGAAAAUAACCAAUACACCCAGAUAUGUGACAUUCGUUUCCUUCCUGAGUGUCAGGAGCCUUCCCCUCUUUGAGGGAAUGUUUCAAUCCCCAGGAAACACUCCACCCAUUUCUCCAUCUUUUACAUUUUUUCCAACCCCCUCCUCCACAGUGUUCUCCUCUGGCUAUUCUUCCUCUAGGGAAGCAGGGUAGCACCCCCAAUUGGACCCCCACCACCGGGUGGGGAGCCCGGACCCCCCUUCUCUGAGAAACCCCAGGCCUUUAUUAUUUUAGUGGAAACUGUUUUCUACACUUAUCAGCCCACCUGGGAUGACUGCAGGCAGCUCUUGGGAAUUCUCUUCACAGCUGAGAGAAGGAUCACAUCCUGACUGAGGCCUGCAAACUGUAGUGGUCCCAGGGACACCUGGGGAGGACACAGAUGCGAGGGGUCUUGCUCUCCACCUGACUGAACUGGGGCCCUAACAUGGACCAUGGCAAGGGGGCACUAGACGCCCAUCACCAGGCCCUACUAACUGGAAUGAGAGCAGCAGCCAGGAAACCAACUAAUCUUUCAAAGAUAUCUGAAGUUAUUCAGGGGGGCAGGAAUCCUGGGUUUUUGGAGCAUAUCUGGGAAGCCUAUUUGGAAUUUACCCCCAUUGACCCAGACACUGCAGAUAACCAGCAAGCUAUCAGUCUUGCCUUUGUGAAUCAGUUGACCCCAGGCAUUCUUAGAAAGCUACAGUGAUUGGAAAGGUUUGCAGGAAUGAGCAGGUCGUAGUCAUUAGAGAUAGUGCAGAAAACUUUAAUAAUAGAGAUUCAGAUGAAAGAAGGGAAAAGAGGCUGGCCAAGAUGGUGAUGGCAGCCUUCAGAGAGGAAGAAGGUGAAAAUGGAAGGAAUCCUAAAUGGCUGAACCAGCCACGGACUAAGUUGGAAAAGGAUCAGUGUGCAUUUUGUAAAGAAAAAGGACACUGGAAGAACAACUGUCCAAAGCGUAAGCAUGGGAAAGGGGAACAAGCACUCAGCCUAACAAACGCAGACUGACCAGGGCUCCCCAACAUGAAUACCAGUGAGCCCAGGUGAGCCUGUGGUGACAGGGAAAGUUGGGGGCCCAACUCUCUGGUUUCUAGUAGAUACUGGUGCCGCACAUUUAGUAUUGACCAAACCUCUGGGCCCCCUUACCAAGAAGAGGACCGCCAUCCAGGGGGCAAUAGGGACUGGCACCUAUGCCUGGACGACCACUAGAAAUGUGAAUCUCAAACAAAGUACUGUAACUCAUUCUUGUUAUGUCUGAUUGCCCAUACCCCUUGAUUUGCAUAGAUUUGUUAAGAAAAUUAGGUGCCACCAUCACGUUUAGUGAAAAUGAAGCUACCUUGCAUCUAAAGAAUCCACACCCAACUAUCUUAGUAACCUGCCCCUUAUCAGAAGAAUAUAAAAUAGUAGAAAAGAACCCAGAAGAACUAAAAGCAAACAAUCCCUCCUCACAGAGCUAAUGCAAAAGGUCCCUGGAGUGUGGGCAGAAACCAAUUCUCCUGGAUUGGCUUCUCACAGGCCACCAAUAAUUGUCUAACUUCUAAACUCUGCCUCACCUGUAAGAAUAAAGCAAUACCGAAUUCCAAGGGACACCAAGGUUGGCAUCAGAAAGCAUAUUUGCUGCCUCAGGGAUGCAGGAAUCCUGGUCCCUUGCCAUUCCCCUUGGAAUACUCCGUUGCUCCCGGUGGCUAAGCCUGGCACUAAGGACUGUUGUCUUGUCCAAGAUCUGAGGGAAGUUAGUAAGAGUGGAAACUAUCCAUCUGACCAUGCCAAAUCCCUACACUCUACUCAGCUUACUGGAUCCAGAGAGGACUGUGUACACUGUCCUGGAUCUGAAGGAUGCUUUUUUCUCUUUGCCUCUGGCACCAGUGAGCCAACCCAUCUUUGCCUUUGAGUGGACAGACCCUGAAGCAGGGUUCAGUGGCCAACUGACCUGGACUCAGUUGCCACAAGGGUUUAAAAAUUCUCUCCCACUCUAUUCAAUGAAAACCUUAGUACAGACCUGCUUGAGUAUCGCCAAGAACACCCAAAUAUCACCCUCCUGCAGCAUGAGGACGACCUCCUCAUCACUACCCACACCCAGGAGGAAUGUCAGCAAGCCACUGAAGAGCUGCUUGAGACCUUCCAGUGAUUGGGGUAUUAUGUGUCUGAAGAAAAAAAAAGCCCAAUUGUGCUCCAAUAAGGUAACCUAUCUGGGGUAUUACUUAGAAUGCAAAGCAGGGAGCGCUAGCUGGAAGUGGGACAAGCCUAUAAACUCUCAAAGCCUUACCCCAGUGAUGUACUUCCUCCAAGAAGGCCUUUAAACAUUCCAUGGCAUCCCCAAAACACCACUGCCAGCCGGGGUCCAAGCGUUCAAUUCUUGAGCCUAUGGGGACAUUUAUCAUUCAAAACACCACACCAGGAAAGCUGAACUUCGCAAGAUUCUGUGUGGGCCCAGUAUAUGACCCUGUACAAAAGUUAGUUUAAAAUGGAUCAGAAGCUGGGUCUGGAGAGAUGGCUUAACAGUUAAGAACACUGGUUGUUCUUGCAGAAGACCCAGGUUCGAAUCCCAACA